Molecule: non-coding RNA, 133 nt
Filed under: Endozoicomonas sp.
Lineage: Bacteria; Pseudomonadati; Pseudomonadota; Gammaproteobacteria; Oceanospirillales; Endozoicomonadaceae
Description: TPP sequence
Rfam family: TPP riboswitch aptamer (THI element)
About the family: Vitamin B(1) in its active form thiamin pyrophosphate (TPP) is an essential coenzyme that is synthesised by coupling of pyrimidine and thiazole moieties in bacteria. The previously detected thiamin-regulatory element, thi box was extended, resulting in a new, highly conserved RNA secondary structure, the THI element, which is widely distributed in eubacteria and also occurs in some archaea. Analysis of operon structures identified a large number of new candidate thiamin-regulated genes, mostly transporters, in various prokaryotic organisms.
Source: RNAcentral
CUGGGUUGGUUGGGGUGUCCUUGACAAUUCUUUCUCGAAAAGCUUUCUUGAAAAGUACACAUUCAAGGCCUGAGAGAUACCCAUUGAACCUGAACCAGAUAAUACUGGCGUAGGAAACCGGCGAUCAAAAGUU